GCCUGGCUGGCUCAGUUGGUGGAGCAUGUGACUCUUGAUCUCAGGGUUGUGAGUUCAAGCCCCACAUUGGGUG
Molecule: transfer RNA, 73 nt
Filed under: Ailuropoda melanoleuca (giant panda)
Lineage: Eukaryota; Metazoa; Chordata; Mammalia; Carnivora; Ursidae
Rfam family: tRNA
About the family: Transfer RNA (tRNA) molecules are approximately 80 nucleotides in length. Their secondary structure includes four short double-helical elements and three loops (D, anti-codon, and T loops).
Source: Rfam by way of RNAcentral